ACACGACUACAUUUAGAUACCCGGGUAGUCCUAGCCGUAAACGAUACUCGCUAGGUGUCGGCCACGGUGCGACCGUUGUCGGUGCCGUAGGGAAGCCGUGAAGCGAGCCACCUGGGAAGUACGGCCGCAAGGCUGAAACUUAAAGGAAUUGGCGGGGGAGCACCACAACGGGUGGAGCUUGCGGUUUAAUUGGAUUCAACGCCGGAAAUCUUACCGGGACCGACAGCAACAUGAAGGCCAGGCUGAAGACUUUGCCGGAUUAGCUG
RNAcentral lists this ribosomal RNA (266 nucleotides) under uncultured archaeon. RNAcentral's name for it is "partial 16S ribosomal RNA". It matches the Rfam family "Archaeal small subunit ribosomal RNA", at positions 717 to 982 of the family's 1478-position model. The record is from RNAcentral.